UCGUGCUAGGCGGGGAGCUAGCGGUGCCCUGUAGCCCGAAAUCCGCUCAGCGGGGCUGAAUCCCCUUUGGAGGGCUUCUUCUGUACCGGCUGUUAUCGUUUUCGGUGCCGAUCGGACACCACGCAACAGACGAAUACGAACCCCGUCAGGUCCGGAAGGAAGCAGCGGUAAGUAUCCCCGGCUGUGUCGUGGUCCACUCUGAUCAGGUGCUGAAGAGCCGGGCAGUUCGGACACAGAAGGUUCAACAAAGGGUGCACGG
Molecule: signal recognition particle RNA, 259 nt
Filed under: Syntrophobacteraceae bacterium
Lineage: Bacteria; Pseudomonadati; Thermodesulfobacteriota; Syntrophobacteria; Syntrophobacterales; Syntrophobacteraceae
Description: signal recognition particle sRNA large type
Rfam family: Bacterial large signal recognition particle RNA
About the family: The signal recognition particle (SRP) is a universally conserved ribonucleoprotein involved in the co-translational targeting of proteins to membranes. Archaeal SRP consists of a 7S RNA and homologues of the eukaryotic SRP19 and SRP54 proteins. In most bacteria, the SRP consists of a 4.5S RNA and the Ffh protein (a homologue of the eukaryotic SRP54 protein).
Source: RNAcentral